Molecule: ribosomal RNA, 381 nt
Filed under: uncultured Rickettsiales bacterium
Lineage: Bacteria; Pseudomonadati; Pseudomonadota; Alphaproteobacteria; Rickettsiales
Description: bacterial SSU rRNA
Rfam family: Bacterial small subunit ribosomal RNA
Source: RNAcentral
AAUGAACGCUGGCGGCAGGCCUAACACAUGCAAGUCGAACGGAGUUAUACUAUAGCUUGCUAUGGUAUAACUUAGUGGCAGACGGGUGAGUAAUGUAUAGGAAUCUACCUAGUAGUACGGAAUAAUUGUUGGAAACGGCAACUAAUACCGUAUACGCCCUACGGGGGAAAAUUUAUUGCUAUUAGAUGAGCCUAUAUUAGAUUAGCUAGUUGGUGGAGUAAUAGCCUACCAAGGCAAUGAUCUAUAGCUGAUCUGAGAGGAUGAUCAGCCACACUGGAACUGAGAUACGGUCCAGACUUCUACGGGAGGCAGCAGUGGGGAAUAUUGGACAAUGGGCGAAAGCCUGAUCCAGCCAUGUCGCACGAGUGAAGAAGGCCUUUG